AGGACCGUGGCGCGGUGGCGAGCGGCGCUGCCGGCCCUGCUGCCGCUGCUGCUCGCCGUGCCGGCGCUGCGCGACUCGCUCGCCGCAGAAGUCAAGCGUUUGGAAUUAGGAAACAGCAGAGCCCCUCGAAACACAAAAUGCUGCUCUCCAAACAUAGCCGGGGAAUGAUUUGUGCGUGUCAUCCCCUCCAUGACACGGCGCGGCCCAGCGUCAAGCCAUCGUGGCGCCCCGCAUCGCCGGCCAAGCAGAAGGGCCUGGGCGGGCUCGGCAGCUCCUCCUGGCCGCAUCUACUCCCGGCACGGGAGUGCCAUGGAGCAAAGCAAAAUGCAUAUUCAGGCACAGAGCUUGCAUCUCCUCCCUCAAAGUCUACUCCCCAAAGCGCAAGUGAAUCGCUGUGCUUUCAGCAGUGAAAUAAUUGAACAGUCCAGCUUGAGUAUUCAUUUUUCUUCAAGGAACAAAUUGCUAACAGCAAGCUCCUGGGUAUAAAUUGCAAUCCUCUGGGAAUUCUAACAGCUACUUGAGGUCUUUGUUAAAAAAAAUAAAAAUAAAAAAUCCCUAAGUGGCAGUAGUAUAGUGAUGGAGAUCAUGUACAAAAUGCACUCACUACAGUAUGAAUGUUGAAUGCAAUGUUUGAAGUUAAUGCAAAAGUUGAAAGUAACUUCUAAACCCAAAGGAGUUCAAGUACUUUGGGAAAUUAAAGUAUAUGAUUUAAUUUCUUCUUCCUUGACCAUAACCAAAAAUAAAAUAUAUCAAACUGUAGCCUGUAGUUCAAAAUUAGUGAUCAAACUGAUGAAAGAGCAGUUGAUCUACUGCAAGAGUCUCUGAACAUUAUCAGAAAGGAAACAUGAACUUACAGUCCAGCCAUUUGGGCAAUGAUGCAUAUUAUAUACAAGUCAAUCAGACUUCAAAGCCAUUUAGUGAUAAUGACUAAAACUGUCUGAAAAAAUUCCUUGGAUAGUU
This is a long non-coding RNA of Dromaius novaehollandiae (emu), 960 nucleotides long. RefSeq lists it as uncharacterized. The record is from RefSeq and is a predicted model, not a curated record. Lineage: Eukaryota; Metazoa; Chordata; Aves; Casuariiformes; Dromaiidae. The transcript has 3 exons.